RNAcentral lists this ribosomal RNA (491 nucleotides) under uncultured Pseudomonadota bacterium. Its description in RNAcentral is "bacterial SSU rRNA". It matches the Rfam family "Bacterial small subunit ribosomal RNA", at positions 355 to 839 of the family's 1533-position model. The record is from RNAcentral. Lineage: Bacteria; Pseudomonadati; Pseudomonadota.
UGGGGAAUCUUGCGCAAUGGGCGAAAGCCUGACGCAGCGACGCCGCGUGAGUGAUGAAGGCCUUCGGGUUGUAAAGCUCUGUGGAGGGGGACGAAUAAGGGCCGUCGAAUAGACGGCUCGAUGACGGUACCCCUUUAGCAAGCACCGGCUAACUCUGUGCCAGCAGCCGCGGUAAGACAGAGGGUGCAAACGUUGUUCGGAAUUACUGGGCGUAAAGCGCGUGUAGGCGGCUCGGCAAGUCGGGUGUGAAAGCCCUGGGCUUAACCUAGGAAGUGCACUCGAAACUGCCAAGCUUGAGUUCUGGAGAGGAAGGCGGAAUUCUCGGUGUAGAGGUGAAAUUCGUAGAUAUCGAGAGGAACACCGGUGGCGAAGGCGGCCUUCUGGACAGCAACUGACGCUGAGACGCGAAAGCGUGGGGAGCAAACAGGAUUAGAUACCCUGGUAGUCCACGCCGUAAACGAUGAGUGCUAGGUGUCGCGGGUUUUGACCCC